This is a long non-coding RNA of Cucumis melo (muskmelon), 924 nucleotides long. RefSeq lists it as uncharacterized. The record is from RefSeq and is a predicted model, not a curated record. Lineage: Eukaryota; Viridiplantae; Streptophyta; Magnoliopsida; Cucurbitales; Cucurbitaceae. The transcript is spliced from 2 exons.
CAGCAAAGUUGACGACAAUCAACAAAUUGAAAUGCAUAUGAUGACAACAACAACAAUAAAUCAGCGGUAAAAAUCCCUUAAAAGCUCAUUACGAAGUGCAAAGGAACACGCCACCGAAAAUUAAUUCCAAAAAGUCAGCCAAGCAAUAAGAAAAGCAAGAUUAAGAAUAUCCCAAGCUCUACUCCCUUUCGUUCUCCGAUUUUGACCCCACAUUUUCCCAUCAUUCCCUUCCCCCAUUGUUGUUUUCCUCUUCAAAUUCGCCUUAUGACAAAUUAUUUUCCCCUUUUAGAUUAACCCUUCAAAUCUUCUCUCUUUCUCUCAAUCUCCCAUGGAAGAUUACAGGUACCAUGGAAAUGGGUUCAGUGGAGAGAACAAUACAGAGUUCAACUAUGCCACAAACUCUCGAAAUUCUUACGAAUUGCGAUCAUAUUCUGCAACUUACGCACAAACCCAGAUGGAAAUCAGGGAUUCCCAGUUCAAGAAAGGGAAAUCCCAUUCCGGGUCUGUCUCAAAAUCUUGGAGUUUCUCGGACCCGGAAUUUCAGAGGAAGAAGAGAGUUGCUAACUACAAGAUGUAUUCUGUUGAAGGCAAAAUGAAGGGUUCUUUCCGAAACAGUUUUAGAUGGCUGAAACGUAAAUGCGAACAUGUCGUUUAUGGCUGGUGGUGAUCCCUUCGGAUUUGAAUUUGGUUGAACUAGCCACAACAAGUAGAGUAUCGUUGAUGAAGAUUGACGUUUAUAUACAACGUACACCAGUUCAACCUUAGACUUUGAGUUGUUUCGCUCUUUAGUUCGAUGGUACUGAGAGAAUUGCUUUCCAUAGUCGAAUUAAACCAUUGGUUUCAUGCCCUGAACAAUGCACAUUGUUGAGAUCUUAUAAACAUUGAUUGUGUUAAUUUAUUCAUCAGUACAAAUCACUUGUGUUA